Molecule: ribosomal RNA, 428 nt
Filed under: uncultured bacterium
Lineage: Bacteria
Description: bacterial SSU rRNA
Rfam family: Bacterial small subunit ribosomal RNA
Source: RNAcentral
GUGGGGAAUAUUGGGCAAUGGGCGAAAGCCUGACCCAGCAACGCCGCGUGAGGGAAGAAGGGUUUCGGCUCGUAAACCUCUGUCCUAUGGGACGAAGGAAGUGACGGUACCAUAGGAGGAAGCCCCGGCUAACUACGUGCCAGCAGCCGCGGUAAUACGUAGGGGGCGAGCGUUGUCCGGAAUGAUUGGGCGUAAAGGGCGCGUAGGCGGCCUGCUAAGUCUGGAGUGAAAGUCCUGCUUUCAAGGUGGGAAUUGCUUUGGAUACUGGUGGGCUGGAGUGCAGGAGAGGAAAGCGGAAUUACCGGUGUAGCGGUGAAAUGCGUAGAGAUCGGUAGGAACACCAGUGGCGAAGGCGGCUUUCUGGACUGAAACUGACGCUGAGGCGCGAAAGCGUGGGGAGCAAACAGGAUUAGAAACCCGAGUAGUCC